This is a non-coding RNA of Anas platyrhynchos (mallard), 3274 nucleotides long. The record is from RefSeq and is a predicted model, not a curated record. Lineage: Eukaryota; Metazoa; Chordata; Aves; Anseriformes; Anatidae.
AGGAAACAGAGAUUCCCCAAGCACCUUUUCCGCUACGAUAUUUGAAGAUUACAUCGGCCAGGCUCGAUCAGCCACUGCAGAGAGUUCCUCGGUGCCUGAUAAGCCCGCUGCGUUUUAGAUCACCGAAGCUGUUUCCACGCUGCAUUUUGUAGGGCUGCACUGCUGAGAGCAGAGAGACUCAAAUCCAAUCCUGCCCUGCUCUGCUCCGCAACAGGCAUUGCCUCACCGUGCCGGGUUUCAACACACGGCGUGCGAAACGUGGAUUUUCUGGGAUCUUCCAGGACACCUUCGCUCGCAGGAAAAUCGGCUCCGAGGUUGGAGGCUGCAAUGCGUGAGCAGGGAGGAGAAACAACAUCCAGCAGCCUGCAGAAAAAGCAGCCGCACAGCUUGCUCGAGUGCAAAUCUGGACUUUUGGCCGGCUGGACUCGUGGGUAUCUCGGUAAGCAGCACCCAACUGCGUUUCGUGGCACCUUCCCAAGGGAAAUAUAUUUUUCCAGGUGUUAUCAGGCCACUUGCUGAAGUGCAUUUCAGCACUGACUGGGCUGUGCGAGCCGUGGCAAUUCCUAGGCACGCUUUAAGGGAGCCCUCCUGCCCCGUGGUGCUGUUCCUCCCGAGGCACCAACCAGCCCCGUGCCGUGAGAGCCGUCGCUUUCCUCUGCAGCUCUCCAAACCUCCCCGGCACCAGCUUUGGGCUCAGCUUUCCAACGCCGCCUUCCUGCGCAUUUCCAACCCCGUCCUGAGCACUUCACAGACCACCGAGACCCACCAGGUUUGUUGAGGAGGGUUUCUCGGUGUUCCUCCUGUGCUGGAUUAAGGGCCGGGACGCAGAGGCACGCUCGCUUUCACCGCAGGGGAUUCGCACGCCUCCAGCUCUUGGCCUUCCCCCCCCCUAUAGCCUGCAAGCGUGCGAUCCCUUUCACCUCCAGCACUCUCCUCCACCCCCAACCCGUAUCUUAGGCUUACUUUAAGGGCUGUUUACCCAGAGUUUGGAGGAGACGAGCGAUUUCCCUGCUGCUCCCACAACCACUCUGGGUGAACCCCGCAGGAGCCGGGCUCCCAAACCCAUGGGUUACCCCUUUGGGGUGUACCAAGACCCCGGUACCCGUGAGCCAGGCAGGUUUCCAACCACCAAGGCUAUUCCGUGCGUGCCUGCACAGAUCUUUUUCUAUGCUUCACCUCCUAUUUUUAUGCCCUCAUCCCCGCAGCACGGCGGUGGAGGUGCGGGCACCGGCAGCCACGCAGGAGCUAUUUGGGGGCAACGUGGGGCACGAGGGCGCGACGAAGCCGCUGCGGGCACCCCAAAAAGCAUGAAGCGAGGGGAGAAACCCCCAGAUGCUGGCGGGGACAAACCCCUAGGUGCUGGCGGAGGUUGUUGGAGAACCUGGGUGGCUGCCUGUAACCUUUUGUGAUGCCACGAGGAUGUUCCAGCUGCACCCUGGACCAGUUUCCAGCACUCGCAGCCGCUCCCAAAUCUCUUUAAAUGGUUGCUGCCAUUUGCUGGGAUUUGCAACCGGCAACGUUUCCAAAAUAGCGCUGUGAGUACCAAGAAAAAAAAAGAGGUUUUCUGAGCAGCUUUGUUCUUUGGGCUCGAUAGCUAACAAAUAACCCAUCUCACCGAUGGCACGGACAGAAAGUGCUGGCGAGCACUUUCUCAAGGCCUCGCAUCGCCCCCACGCCUGGCCUGCGAUCAGCGGCAGCUCGCUUUAUGUCACUGGAAACAUUUUGCUGUGACAGGAGGUUUCGGACAGAAGCAUUUCACCAAAACACUAAAUAUUUCUAAAUAGGUUUUCUAUUCAACUCUCCCAGGCUGCUAAAUGGCAAGCCAAAGGAUUUUUGGUCGCGUUUCUCUUGGGUUCCUGAAAUUAAAGGCGUCUUACUCAGUAACCUCAGCUUCCUGCUGGUUCUUCUAACAAUUAAAACUCAGCACGGCUCGCAAGGACAGGAAACGUGCCUCGAUUCUGCUCUUCCUAGAUAGAGAAAUGUCAUGUGAAACAGCAGCUUUGAGAUCAUCGAAUAAACCCAACCAAAUUAAUACCGAAGCGGUGGCAUUUCCCGAAUCACCCUCUUCUGAAAGAGGGCUGGGGCUCCUUUGGAAACAGCAGCAGGAUGUGGUCUGGAGGCUCGCCGUGACAAGCGUGUUUGCCUUCGCUGCUGUAUUACACCACAAAGAAAGCAAAUAUUUUAGCUCACCUGUUCUCCCUGUGCCCACGGAGGGAACGAGCAGCAGCCCUGCAUAGCCUCCGUGUGCUCCAGGAAUAAGGAAAAGGCUGCAGCCAACUCUCUCUCUCUCUCUUUCUCCCCCGAUUUUUUCUUUAAUUAUCCCACAAAGUUAUUACUCAUUCAAAUCUUUUCUUUCAGGCCUGCACUGCUUUGGGAAAAAAAAUAAAUGUAAUAAAAUCAUUUUAACUAACAAAACCGGUGCAUGCCUUGAAGUAGGGCUGUCUGAAACCAGUUCUUGCGGCUCAGCUGUGGUUUUUCACAGAGUAGCAGCAGCAUUUUUCCUUUUGCUAAUGCAAGCUCCGUUCGGGUACACUCGACCUAAUUAAGCUGCUACGAGCUUCUCACGCCAAUGCCCUCAGCCUGCUUUAUCCUCGCUCAGCCCCCUCGCAUGGGGCUGUAAGGACGGAGGCCCUGGGACACCAGAGGUGCCCUGUCCGUUUUUAAAACGCCUUUUUAAUUACAACGGGGAACCGAGAUACACGACCGAGGCGAAUCUGGAGCAAGGAGUUGACUUACCAACACAAAGGCACCAAGUUAAUUAGAUAAGGCACACACUACAGAUUUAUUUAAUGACUAAGUCCUGCAUAUCCUGCUUCCUCCCCCAUCGCCCUGCCACCCACAUCCCCUCCCGGUCCCCGCCUCUGACUCCUCCAAGCCCCUCUGAACUCGAGUAUUUUACCCUAACCACACAUUUAAUCCCCUAGAUCCACUUGCUGAAAGUAUAAAUCAGCAGGAUAUGCUCCUAUUUUCCGUCCCCUGAAUACGUGGCCAGGGAUUAAUUAGUUCAGAGUAAGAGGAAAGAGCAAGGCUGGUCAGAAAUCCCCUUCUGCUUGAAGUGCUGUUAGAAAGAAAAGUCCUAAGCAUUUUAUUUUUUUUUUUAUUAUUAAUGUAUAUUUUUUUGCUACAAAGGUUUUGGAUUAAGAUUCAUUUUUCACCUAGAAAGUCGCCCCAUAUUUUUUUCAGACCCAGAACAUUUUUAUUUUCCCAUAGCAUUAUUAAGGCCAGCAGGUGAACACUUGGAUUUCUGCCAACCUGCAACGGACUCAAUCUGCAU